UCUAAAUGCGCUUAACCAUCGAAACCUUCUGGGCCUAAAACCCAAAAUACUAUAGCUGAGUUAAGAAAUUUAGCCCUAUGUUAUCUCAUAUAUAGAAUUGUUCCAAAUCCUAGGGUGUUACAUUCCCCCUUUCUUCCCCUCUUUAAGUUUUGACAUUCUCAUCAGACUCAAGUACACUCACAAAUAUUAGGCGAUGUGAGACUCGUCUCGCUAGCUUUAACCAACCUUGUGAGUCACGCUCCACCCACAACGAUCAUCAGCUGGAAAGCCGCUCUCUACCCACUAUAUAACCCUAGUUGAGCUAAGACUUUUUUCGCACUUUCAGUUGAUUUUUGACUCUAAUACCCUACUUCCAAAGGGGUUACCCAUUUUAGAACUACUAUAGGUUUAGUUUUUAACCCUUUGGGCCUAGCCACCGUCCAAAAUACUAUAGCCGGAUUCUUAUAUAGGACUAAUCCAAAUUCUGCGGUGUCACAAAAUUGGU
This 484-nucleotide long non-coding RNA is filed under the name Ananas comosus (pineapple). RNAcentral describes it as "long non-coding RNA (ACOM_LNC030534)". The record is from RNAcentral. Lineage: Eukaryota; Viridiplantae; Streptophyta; Magnoliopsida; Poales; Bromeliaceae.